RNAcentral lists this ribosomal RNA (484 nucleotides) under uncultured bacterium. RNAcentral describes it as "partial 16S ribosomal RNA". It matches the Rfam family "Bacterial small subunit ribosomal RNA", at positions 30 to 507 of the family's 1533-position model. The record is from RNAcentral.
AUUGAACGCUAGCGGGAUGCUUUACACAUGCAAGUCGAACGGCAGCGCGGACUUCGGUCUGGCGGCGAGUGGCGAACGGGUGAGUAAUGUAUCGGAACGUGCCCAGUAGCGGGGGAUAACUACGCGAAAGCGUAGCUAAUACCGCAUACGCCCUACGGGGGAAAGCAGGGGAUCGUAAGACCUUGCACUAUUUGAGCGGCCGAUAUCGGAUUAGCUAGUUGGUGAGGUAACGGCUCACCAAGGCGACGAUCCGUAGCUGGUUUGAGAGGACGACCAGCCACACUGGGACUGAGACACGGCCCAGACUCCUACGGGAGGCAGCAGUGGGGAAUUUUGGACAAUGGGGGAAACCCUGAUCCAGCCAUCCCGCGUGUGCGAUGAAGGCCUUCGGGUUGUAAAGCACUUUUGGCAGGAAAGAAACGUCGCGGGCUAAUACCCCGUGGAACUGACGGUACCUGCAGAAUAAGCACCGGCUAACUACGUG